RNAcentral lists this ribosomal RNA (253 nucleotides) under uncultured bacterium. RNAcentral's name for it is "partial 16S ribosomal RNA". It matches the Rfam family "Bacterial small subunit ribosomal RNA", at positions 524 to 776 of the family's 1533-position model. The record is from RNAcentral.
UACGAAGGGUGCUAGCGUUGUUCGGAAUCAUUGGGCGUAAAGCGUACGUAGGCGGUUUAGUAAGUCGAUUGUGAAAGCCCCGAGCUCAACUCGGGAAUUGCAACCGAUACUGCUUUACUAGAGUUUGGUGGGGGAUGGUGGAAUUCCUAGUGUAGGGGUGAAAUCCGUAGAUAUUAGGAGGAAUAUCGGUGGCGAAAGCGACCAUCUACGCCAAUACUGACGCUAAGGUACGAAAGCGUGGGGAGCAAACAGG